CUAUCACCUAGACUCGCUCACUCCACUCCUUGCUAUGCCCCAAACCCCAGGCUGACUAGCACCUCAGGGCCUUUGCACAUGUUUCCUCUCCCUGAAACACUCUUCCUCUAGAUCCACAUCACUUGCUUCCUCAACCCCUUCAGCUUUGCUCAAAGAUCACCUUUCCAGCAAGACCGUCCCUGGCCACCCUGUUUUGAUGGCAUGUCCCCCUCCUGACACUCUCAGCCCUCCUUCCUGCCUCAGUUUGUGUCUGUAGCACUGACCAUCAUUGCCAUUACCACAGCUCUUACCCACUUACUUUUCUUAGUGUUCAUGUCCCCCCACUAGAAUAUGAGUCCCACGAGGGCAAGAAAUGGAGUCUGUUUUGUUCACUGCUAUAUCCAGAGCCCAGCAUACUCUCUGCAUAUGGAAGGUCCUCAAUAAGCAUUUAUGGGAAGGAAAGGAGGGAGGAGGGAAGAAGGGAGUCGGGGAAGGAGGGGUGACUGUUCCUUCUAUUCCUUAACCAGCUGCGUCCACUUCCCCCGGCUCGUCCGGGUCCAGACCUUCUCACCAUCUCCCAGACAGGCAGGGAGCAGAAAAGAAUCCGGAGCAAGCAGCCGCUGCCCUAGAUCUCGGCUGUCAUCCGUGUUUCCAGGGGCUACGAAAUGGAGCGAGCACAGGCGAGAUUUGAGUUCAAAUUCCAGCUUCUUCAUUCACCAGCUGAGUGACCUUAGGAAAGUCCCCUCUGGGAUUUCCCGCGCAGCCACAGACAGCUGCAGGAUAAUCUGGGGAGAUUUUUGAAGUCGAGCAGAAGGAACACGUGAACAUCGACUGAAAUUCUCGUUGUUUUUAACGGCACUGAGUCUACUGGCGUGUUGAUCAAAGCGAGUUGUACAAAUUCAGGGGAGAGAGACCCAUUUUGUUCGAAUGACAGCAAAUCACAUUUGAACUCGAGCAAAUUUAAUUUUCUGUUCCAGCUCAAUAUUUCCAGCAAAGAUUUUGAGAAACAAAAUUGGAUUUUCAGUGAUGGGGAUACAUUUUAACACAUGCCACAGCUGGGUGGAUUCAACCUGUUGCAUCGAAGUUGCUAUUUCCUGGCCACGCUGAAGAGCAAAAUCUGGAACUCACAGUGUAUAUGAACCCCAGAAGAGAAAUAGACCCGUUAGCACUGGGCCAGGCGGAGAGGGCUUAGCCAAGGCCUUGAAGCACUUUAUUCCCAGGGACUGAGGACCACUGAGUUGGGAGAAAUGAUGACCCAGCUCUCAGAAAUAUAGACUUUUGAGCUAGAAGAGAUUUGAGACAUCACCUAGAGUGUCUAGGGAUCCCUAAAACGUGGGCCAGGAGAUGGUUUUAAUAGCACGAGAAGAACUCAGCGAUAAAUAACUGACUCCCCCUAUGAAGAAAGGUAUUCCCUUUUCAAUUACCCUUUUCUCUACAUCAGAGAGAGUCUCCAGCCCCAGUUCUUUAAUGCUCAGUGGUGAACCAACAGACCUUGGAUGCACUGGUGACAGUAUCAGGCUAGAAUUUUAAAACCUUGUAUCCUUUUGUUUAUAGACCAGGACGCCUGCAAAUGUUUUCCGUAAAGCGCCAGAGAGCAAAUAUUCUAGACUUUGCUGUCUCUGUUGCAACUAAAGUCUGCUGUUAUAGGGCAAAGGCAGCCAUAAACAAUGAGUAAAUAAGUGAGUGUGGUGUAUCCCAAUAAAUCUUCAUUAUGGAGAC
Molecule: long non-coding RNA, 1698 nt
Organism: Equus caballus (horse)
Lineage: Eukaryota; Metazoa; Chordata; Mammalia; Perissodactyla; Equidae
Source: Ensembl